CAGAAAGAUCCUGACAGAGCAGAGCUCUCUUCUCUUCAAUCUUUUUGCUUGGAGGAGAAAUCUGUUUUUGGUGAUGUCUCGAGUAGGGGAAGAAGAGGCCAAGAGCCUAGCCUAGGUGUUGCCAAUUAAAGAUGCUUUCUUAAGUAAGCAAAUCUUGGCAGGGUGCCUAGACACAGCCCGUGAAGGCCCUCUGGCCUUUUGCAAAUACCCUGUGAAGAGAUAUUGCUCCGGCUAUAGAAGCUGAAGCCCAGAAAAAAAUGUCCGCUGUGGGCUGCUAUGGACUCCUCAUCAUUCAGAGAAAGGCAACUGGCCAGCGAGGAGUGGUUGUUAACAGCGGCUAAGUGUGGAAGGACAGUGACAGAAGAUUAGCCAUGAGCUAACAUCUGCUGCUAAUCCUCCUCCUUUUGCUGAUGAAGACUGGCCCUGAGCUAACAUCCGUACCCAUCUUCCUCUACUUUAUACAUGGGACGCCUGCCACAGCAUGGCUUGACUAGCGGCGCCGUGUCCGCACCUGGGAUCCGAACUGGCAAACCCUGGGCUGCUGAGAAGCAGAACGUGCGAACUUAACCGCUGCGCCACCAGGCUGGCCUCUCUUAGCAACUUUGAAGUAUAUAACAUGGCUCCCCCUGGGCCCGGCAGCUGAGGUCAGCUUGUUGUGCCGUCGGCUUUACAGGGAAGAUGGAGCAGAAGAACUGGAGCUGCUCCAGGGCGGGGACAAGACUGUCACCGGACACGCUCGCCAGAUACUGAGGCAACGUGCGACAGGUCGUUGCUCGUCCCUAGUCAGAGGGAGCUCAAAGUGUCAGAACUUGAGCGUUUCAAAUCACAACCCUGGGGGCUGGCCCUGUGGCCCAGUGGUUAAGUUUGUGCACUCCGAUUUGGCGGUGCGGGAUUUCGCCAGUUCAGAUCCAGGGCGAGGACAUGGCACCACUCGUCAGGCCGUGCUGAGGUGGCCUCCCACAUAGCACAACCAGAAGGACCACAACUACAAUAUACAACUGUGUACUGGUGGGCUUUGGGGAGAAGAAGAAGAAGAAGAAAAAAAAAGAAGAUUGGAAUAGUUGUUAGCUCAGGUGCCAAUCAAAAAAAAAAAGAAUUAAAAAAAGAACAUAAAAUAAAAUCACAACCCUACUUAUAAUGAAAGACUGGUGAGGCCUAAAUGUAUGAAUUAAAAGUAAAAUCGGGGCGGGGGGGCCAGCCUGUGGCAUAGUUGUUAAUAAGUUGUUAUUAAAAAGGUGACCAUAUAAUUUAUUAUCCAAACCAGGACACUUCUGAGAGUGAAAGGGGGUGUUAUUAAUAAUCUCUCCAGGACAACAGGGUAAACCAAGACUGCCAGGGAAACCAAGCUCGCACGCUCUGCUUCGGUGGCCCAGGGUUUACAGGUUUGGAUCUUGGGCACAGACCUAGAUGCUGCUCAUCAAGCCAUGCUGUGGCAGCAUCCCACAUGCAAAAUAGGGGAAGACUGGCACAAAUGUUAGCUCAGGGCCAAUCUUCCUCACCCAAAAAAGAAAAAAAAAAGUAAAAUAGGGAUAUUAUUCACCUCAGAGAAUUGCUUUGAGGAGUCAAUCAAAUAACUUGUGUGUGGGGUGUAGGACAGUCUGGCUCAUUGUAGGCCUCAAAAUGGUGGUUACCUUAUGAGUUUACUUCUAGAGAAUCUGCUGAGGAGACACAAUGAAUGGAGAAGAGUCACUCUGAAGCUUUUUUCUCUGUCGCCAAGGAGGCAAAUCCCUGACACCCCUUCUUAGACCCCAGAGGAUUCUUCCUUAAUGGCCAACAGCUCAAAUCCACUCAGAGGACUAGGUCAAUAUUUAGAUGGAAAAGAUGUCACUCCCUCCUCACCAAAUGUCAACAAAUAGAAGGGCAAAAAUGUUUUUUUUUUUAAAAAAGAAGUUUCCUACAAGAUUUGUGCCUAUUAGUAAAUUUCCAUAGCUAAUGAUUUUUGUCAGUAAAAAAAAAUCUUUGUGAAAUACAUAAUAAAUAUUUCAUUUUUGGCAGUGAUGCAUGUGAGAAAAAUGAUAACAAUCUGUUCUUCACUUGUUGUGUUUCUGGUACAUAAGGGAACAGUUUCACAAACCAGUAAGUAUGCUGGUACAGACGCCAAUUAAGAUCAAUCUUCUCAAACGAAAUUAGGUGAAGCCCGUGGGCUGUUAGCUAAU
Equus caballus (horse) is the source of this 2156-nucleotide long non-coding RNA. Lineage: Eukaryota; Metazoa; Chordata; Mammalia; Perissodactyla; Equidae. The record is from Ensembl.